GAUGAACGCUGGCGGCGUGCCUAAUACAUGCAAGUCGAGCGAACAGACGAGGAGCUUGCUCCUCUGACGUUAGCGGCGGACGGGUGAGUAACACGUGGAUAACCUACCUAUAAGACUGGGAUAACUUCGGGAAACCGGAGCUAAUACCGGAUAAUAUAUUGAACCGCAUGGUUCAAUAGUGAAAGACGGUUUUGCUGUCACUUAUAGAUGGAUCCGCGCCGCAUUAGCUAGUUGGUAAGGUAACGGCUUACCAAGGCAACGAUGCGUAGCCGACCUGAGAGGGUGAUCGGCCACACUGGAACUGAGACACGGUCCAGACUCCUACGGGAGGCAGCAGUAGGGAAUCUUCAGCAAUGGGCGAAAGCCUGACGGAGCAACGCCGCGUGAGUGAUGAAGGUCUUCGGAUCGUAAAACUCUGUUAUUAGGGAAGAAAAAAUGUGUAAGUAACUAUGCACGUCUUGACGGUACCUAAUCAGAAAGCCACGGCUAACUACGUG
This 497-nucleotide ribosomal RNA is filed under the name uncultured bacterium. RNAcentral describes it as "partial 16S ribosomal RNA". It matches the Rfam family "Bacterial small subunit ribosomal RNA", at positions 28 to 507 of the family's 1533-position model. The record is from RNAcentral.